ACCGACUGGACUCAAACAUUACACGGAUGGCAUUUCACGGGGCGCAUAGACUAGUUUUCUCGAUCGCAUCGCGACGACUGGGUCACGUUAUCGGCCCGUCGAAUAGCUUCCCUCCAGAACUAUCGAGGCGUCGCGUCGUGAUAGCGCGUGAUCGCGAGCGACGCACGAAUCGUGCUAGACGCCCGCGCCAGUUCGACGCUCGAUCGCGCGGCGUCUGGACUUGGAGCGUCGUUUUCGUUUCUAUUUAGCGUACAGAGAAACGUGAAACGUUUCUCGAUCGUCUUCGAGACGCGAUUUUCGUUCGUGCAGCGUUGUCAGGGCGUUAUUCGCGCGCGACCCGAGAUGAGCGAGCGACCCUGGUAUUCGCUACGGCGUGACGGCGACUCGAGGAUGAUGAUGUAUAAGCAGGCGGAGUUUGAGGACGAGGACAGCAGCAGCAUCGGGUCCGUAGCUCUCAACAGCGAGGGCAUCAGCACGUCCGCGACUCACAUUAGAUAUCGUUCGGUACGUUUCAAGGGGACGUCGCUGUGGAGAGCGAGAAGCACGCUGGAGAGAUGCCUGUUUAUCAUUUGCACCGGCCUAUUGCUGAUGGUCGUGUUGCUGUCGAUAGUUAUCAGCAGCAAGAACGGCUGGGACGAGGCGCAGAUACUUCACGUGACUUCCCACGGAGAAGACGGCACGCACUGCCUGACGAAACAUUGCGUGACGGUAGCUGCGUCCAGUAUAAACAGUAUAGAUUGGUCCGUCGAUCCGUGCGAUGAUUUCUACGAGUACGCCUGCGGUGGAUGGAUAAAAAAGAACCCUAUACCGGAUGGGAACAGCAUGUGGGGAACAUUCGACAAACUGAAGCAAGAAAACGAGUUGGUGCUCAAGAACAUUCUUGAGAAACCGCUAAACAAUAUGAAGUCGAAGGCUGAGAGAAAGGCCAAGUAUUACUUCAUGUCCUGUAUGGACGCGAACGAUACCAUCGAGACCCUCGGUGCGAAGCCUAUGCUCGACUUGUUGGAUUCUAUUGGUGGCUGGAACAUCUCUGGGAAAUUCAAUCUGAGCUCGUGGUCUUUGCAGAACAGCAUGCAACUUCUGCAAAACGUUUACAACAUGGACGGUUUAUUUACAUGGGCGGUGAACGAGGACGAUCGAAAUAGUACCAGGCACAUUAUACAAAUCGAUCAGGGAGGUCUGACUUUGCCAACCGCUGACAAUUACUUGAACGUUACCGAGAACAGCAAAGUGUUGCUUGCCUAUCUAGACUACAUGACGAAGAUCGGCGUGCUGCUAGGUGGCGAGAAGAACGCGACCAGGGUACAGAUGCUCGAGGUGAUCGAUUUCGAGACGAAGCUGGCCAAGAUCAUGACGCCUCUGGAGGAACGUAGGGACGAAGAAAAGCUUUACAACCCGAUGACGUUGAACGAGCUUCAACGUAAAGCACCUUUCAUGUCUUGGGUGGACUACUUUCAAAACGCGACGCGUUUAGUCAACAAGAAGAUCAGCGGCGACGCGACGAUCGUCAACUUCGCACCGGAAUAUUUUGUCAAGUUGUCGAAACUCGUGCUGGAGUACAACAAGACGGACGCUGGAAAAGUAAUACUGAAUAACUACCUGGUUUGGCAGACCGUGAGGCCCCUGACGGGGUGCUUGUCGAAGCCCUUCCGUGACGCUUACAAGGGCCUCAGGAAAGCCUUGAUCGGCUCGGAGGGCCGCGAGGAGCAGUGGCGUUAUUGCGUCAGCGAUACGGACAACGCGAUGGGCUUUGCGAUCGGCGCCAUGUUCGUACGAGACGUCUUCCACGGGAGGAGCAAACCCAUGGCGGAGCAGAUGAUCGAUCAGGUACGGCAAGCUUUCACGAAAAACUUGAAGAAUCUCGAUUGGAUGGACGCGGAGACCAGGCAAGCCGCCGAGGAGAAAGCGAACGCCAUCACCGAUAUGAUCGGUUUCCCAAAUUUCAUACUGGACCCCAAUCAGCUGGACGACCUUUACAGAGAUUUGUACAUUAAGCAGAACGAAUACUUUCAGAAUACCAUACGGGUGAACAAGUAUAAUUUACGGAAGAACCUGGAGAAGCUCGAUCAACCCGUGAACAAGACCACUUGGAUCAUGACGCCGCCCACCGUGAACGCUUAUUACAGGCCUACCAAAAAUCAGAUGGUCCUACCCGCUGGUAUCCUACAGAGUCCGUUCUAUGACAUGGAGAACCCUAGUAGCUUAAAUUUCGGUGGUAUAGGAGUCGUCAUGGGCCACGAGCUGACUCACGCGUUCGACGAUCAAGGAAGGGAAUACGAUUUACACGGGAACUUGAAUCAGUGGUGGAACAACGCGACGAUAGAAAGGUUCAAAAAUAGAACGGAAUGUUUCGUAGAACAGUACAACAGCUUCGAGAUACACGGUCGGCACGUGAACGGACGGCAGACUUUGGGAGAAAAUAUUGCCGACAACGGAGGCCUCGAAGCAGCGUACCACGCGUACCUCACGACGCCUAAAAGCUACAAGGAUCAGCUACCAUUACCUGGUCUCAAUCUAACGCAUCGUCAGCUGUUCUUUCUGAAUUUUGCUCAGGUCUGGUGUUCAGCUGCAACGUCUGAGGCGAUUGUUCUCCAAAUCGAGAAAGAUUCUCAUUGUCCGGCGAAAUUCAGAGUGAUAGGACCUCUUUCGAAUCUCCCCGAGUUCGCUACCGAAUUCAAUUGUCCGAAAGGCUCGCGAAUGAAUCCGGUUCACAAAUGCGAGGUGUGGUAACGCGCCAUGUUUUCGAUCGCUCUGAUUUCCGGUGUAGCGAACGAGUCGUCGAAUGGCUCCUUUUCGAUUCAAUUCGUGCAAUCAACGAGUCGUUCGAUGAAGGACCGAAUUACUUGAAUCGGUCGAGGGCAAUCCUCUUGGCGGAUCAGCGAUUCAAAUGUCGACGAUGAAUCUUCAGGAGAUGUGUUGCGCAACGGCGCGAUCGUCAUUGGGGAUCGCUGACACCUCGUUCAUGCAAACGACGAUGAAAAUGUUCGAAUUCCAUUUCAAUGUCGUUCGAAUGGGUUCGAAUGGUACGUGACGAGGGCAUUGAUUUUACGAUGCGAUAUUAUUCGGACCGGUCAAGUACUUCCAUUUGUUGAAUCCUCGAUCGUUGAUUUAUCGAGAACCGUCGAGAUCGCAACGUGCCACACUUUUGGGACUCCGUAUGUUUGCAACGAAUGCCAGAGAUGCAAUUUUAUAUACCGAUCCAAGGUCCGAGAUUUCGCGUAUAGGACGAAAGUUGAGCGUUUCUCACGGUGCAGAACUUUUGCGCGUUUAGGCGUCUCGAUUCUUUCGGAACAAUCGAUAGGAAUGCUCGCUACGCGACCAUCAAGGCACUAGGACCAUUAUAUGAAUUUAUUGCUCUUUCUUAUAUAGCUAUUUUAACGCGACCCAGAGCGAUAGGUUUUCCGACUAAUCAGUGUUCACUGUGGUUCAUCGCGAUCGAUCACCGAACCGACCGACAUUGCACCGUAAGCGAACGUAAAGUCAUUUUUUACUUUUAUACUUGUAUUAUUCGAUCGUCAGUCGAUUCGAGUAUAGGUACAUUCACGACACGAAAGAUUCAAUCAAAUUUCCGCGAACGCUCAUGCCAACUGGAACGACCUGUAUAAUCGCCGAAUAUUUAUCGAAUUGAUACAAACGUUUUCAUCCUUAGCUGCGGUACAUUACUUUCCCAUAGGUCGAAAUAGAGGGUAUGUACUAUUGUUCAAGGUCGAUUUACUUUGCUUUGCUCGCAUCAGGAGGAUUCUCGAAGAUCUCGAUGAGCCAUAGCGAUCGUGAAUCGCAAACACGGUGCCGUAAUUUUCUGCAGGCAGGAUCUAACGUUUAAGCUUAAGAAGUUUAAUUUUAUAAACAAGCUACGGGCUAGUUAUAUAGAGCGGAGUUAGUACGUUAAUCUAGGGGAUGCGUUUUCACGCACUAUGGGUGCCGAGACGAAAUAUUUUUCAAUGUGCUUAAGUGUAUAUUUUCAUUCUGUCUCGUGCUGCUCAGUAUUCGAGCGAAUCAAAAAGUUCUCCUUUCGUUUGCUACAGAUGUAUCGAGAGGAUUGUAUACAGUGUAUAGGUGUAAACCAAAUUAUAGUCUACUUUAAGAAAUUAUUUGUACAAAAAAGUGGUGUCGAUAGGUUUCCACGCGUGCAACCUCGAGAUCUUUUAAAUCAAACGAAUCGCAAAAGGACGAGAAACGAUGCGAAAGUCAUUUGGCGCGAUAUAACUACUCUGUAACUGAUACGUCUGUUAACUAUGUGCCGUGAAUCUUUAUUUUUCAUUGUUUCAAAGUAUUGUUAAGUAUAGUUAAGUAUAGUUAUUAGAAGGAAAAAGCCGAUUGUAUACUUUAAGCGCGUAAGAUGUGUCCGAGUGGUUCUUUUUAUACUCGUUUGGUGACGACUGACGAGUGAGAACAAAAUUGUCAGCAACCACACCCUUUCUUUGUAUGUUACAUUUUACAAAACAAGCGAAGCUAGAUAACGCCAAUAAUUCAUCGAUGCUGGAACGCGAGAGAAUGAUGAAGAAAAAUUUUAUGCGUCGUGCGAGUAGCUCUUAGAGGGCGGGAAUUAUUUCGAUUGCGCCACUAAUAUUAUACAAUAUCAUUGGAGAUAUUUAUUAAUGACGCACGUGUAAAUCAAAUAAAGAACGAAUUAAAUAACGAUCAGAUUGCUUUAUAAAUUGCAGGGAAGGAGGUUUUUGUUUCUUCCGUUGCUCCAGAGAAAAAGUUUGAACUAGUCGUGUUGGAGAAGGUAAGAAAACAGUUACUCGGUCGGCUGCAAGAUCACCCUGAUUGUUUUAAACGACACUGAUAAAGUAAGGGGUGACAUUCGUAACAUUGUAGCCGGUGAAAAGACGAGUUGAGCGAUCUACUAUACCGUGACCCUGAAAUGUCUGUCAAAUGAAAAAUGAAUGUUCUUCAAAUGAGGUGAAAAUGUCUGAUAAAUCGUGAGAACCGUCACAAUAAACAUACUUGCUACAUA
RNA transcript from Hylaeus anthracinus, 4960 nucleotides. It is a transcript of the gene named endothelin-converting enzyme homolog, with no coding region annotated. The transcript is spliced from 14 exons. Lineage: Eukaryota; Metazoa; Arthropoda; Insecta; Hymenoptera; Colletidae. The record is from RefSeq and is a predicted model, not a curated record.